UUUUAUUAGUACAAAGAGUAUAUUUAAUUUCCAAUUAAAAGGUUCUUUAGAAUAAAAUUA
RNAcentral lists this transfer RNA (60 nucleotides) under Liposcelis bostrychophila. RNAcentral's name for it is "tRNA-Gly". The record is from RNAcentral. Lineage: Eukaryota; Metazoa; Arthropoda; Insecta; Psocodea; Liposcelididae.